RNAcentral lists this long non-coding RNA (1066 nucleotides) under Capra hircus (goat). Its description in RNAcentral is "lncRNA (ENSCHIG00010007521.1)". Lineage: Eukaryota; Metazoa; Chordata; Mammalia; Artiodactyla; Bovidae. The record is from RNAcentral.
ACACACACACACACACACACACACAGACUAUAAAAGCUUAUAAUUGUUCAACACAAAGACAACACGUUAGGCUCUCUUACCUGCACUAGCAGGAAGUCAACUUUGAAAGCCAUCUAAUCCCUACAAAAGGUAUACUUUUUUAAGGCCCACUUUAGAUCUACACUUGGAGAAUAACAGACAAUAAAGAAUUUCCCAAAGGACAAGGUCAGGAACCAUGGAGAAAAAUUAUUCCCCCCCAAGGCAGAGGGACAAGCUUGUCAAGAUGACUAACAAAGAAACUUUUCUACUAUAAGGAUAAAAAUCUUCAUGAUUCCUACACACAGGAUUUGACCACUGCUAAGGGACUAUUAGGUUUCCCAUCUUCCCCUUUUCCAAAUGGGAGUGUCUUAUUCUGCUUCUCUUCUACUCUUGUCUUUUGUAUGUGUUACCUUGCCUCAUAUUUACCACUGUAUAUUGGAUAUCUAUGUGGGGGGAGGGGAGAGGGGGGAGCAGAGGGCCCAUAAAUUGCUUUUUAGAUCAGAUGUGCCAAAUAUAGGAAGUAAUAUCAGGGACUGAGAAAAUGAACUGACCUCACAUUACACAGAUAUAAUGAAUUUUGAGAACAAUGAGACUUAGAGAUGGACUAAAUAAGUUUCAUGCUCAGGAGAUAAGAGUGCACAUAGCAGAAACUAUUAGAUGUCUCCCCAAAUCCAUGUUCUUUUUUUCACAGUAAUGAGAAUUUUAGCUAGGUAUAUAGCAUUCUUCAUUGUCUAGCUUCCUUUGCUGCUACACAUGGUGAUAUGACUGAAUUCUGCCUAAUACAAUGCAAGAAAAUUGAUGUGUGCUACUUCUGGCUCAAUUCCUUUGAAGAAAGGAUAAAGUCCUCCCUUUUUAGUUUCUUGAUGGGAGGUAACCAUGGUGGUCUCCAUCCAUAAACAAGAUCAACAUUCAAGGGACAGCAAAGUGAAAAUAUGGUAGGUGACUGGGUCUUCUCCAGGGGUUCCAACCUCUGGGAAUUAAUGCCUGAUGAUAUGAGGAGGAACAGUUAGAACUGGACAUGGACCAACAGACUGGUUCCAAAUAGGAA